This 72-nucleotide transfer RNA is filed under the name Camelus bactrianus (Bactrian camel). It matches the Rfam family "tRNA". From Rfam's summary of the family: Transfer RNA (tRNA) molecules are approximately 80 nucleotides in length. Their secondary structure includes four short double-helical elements and three loops (D, anti-codon, and T loops). RNAcentral also lists the same sequence under 2 other names. The record is from Rfam by way of RNAcentral. Lineage: Eukaryota; Metazoa; Chordata; Mammalia; Artiodactyla; Camelidae.
GAAGGUAUAACUCAGUGGUCGAGUGUGUGCUUAGAAUGCAUGAGAUCCUAGGUUCAAUCCUCAGUACCUCCA